UGGCAGGUUCCCUCCGCCUAGGGUCGAAAGC
Molecule: non-coding RNA, 31 nt
Filed under: Homo sapiens (human)
Lineage: Eukaryota; Metazoa; Chordata; Mammalia; Primates; Hominidae
Source: RNAcentral